This 541-nucleotide long non-coding RNA is filed under the name Olea europaea subsp. europaea. Lineage: Eukaryota; Viridiplantae; Streptophyta; Magnoliopsida; Lamiales; Oleaceae. The record is from RNAcentral.
GCCAAUGCCACCACGGCCACUUACGCCCACCCUCACCUCGUCAUUGUCGUUACUACAACACCACCGACACCACCACAUCACCACCAACAAAUCGCCACCACCAAAUCCAAUCUACUACCAACAAAAACCAUGACAACCACCUUUAUUAGAUCUCCAGCCACCAAUAACUACCUUCACCACUAUUGCACUACAACUACCGCCAGUAACAACCUAACAAUCAAAAACCCUCGCCAUCACCUCGAAUCCACAAAGAACAAAUAACAGACCGAAGGUCUUGGGAGUGGGUGCCACCAGAUUGCCGUCUUGGAAGUGGGUGCCAUUAGAUCGUCAUCUGCGAUGCGACAUCGUGAGCAGAUAAUAUGCGGCGCUCACUCCCCCUCACCCGUCGUCGUUGGUGAAAUGUGACGCGCAAAAAAGCAUGUGAAGAAACAAAAAAUGGUCGCCGUCAAUGCUGAGAAGAAGGAAAAAAAUGCAAUGAGGAAAGAAAUCAUCGAUGAAAGGUAGUGAUUGUGGGAGUGGGGCACUUGGAGGGUGAAUUAAU